AUUGAACGCUGGCGGCAGGCCUAACACAUGCAAGUCGAACGAGUGGCGGACGGGUGAGUAAUGUCUGGGAAACUGCCCGAUGGAGGGGGAUAACUACUGGAAACGGUAGCUAAUACCGCAUACCAUCAGAUGUGCCCAGGUGGUAUUAGCUAGUAGGUGGGGUAACGGGUCACCUAGGCGACGAUCCCUAGCUGGUCUGAGAGGAUGACCAGCCACACUGGAACUGAGACAAGGGCCAGACUCCUACGGGAGGCAGCAGUGGGGAAUAUUGCACAAGGGGCGCAAGCCUGAUGCAGCCAUGCCGCGUGUGUGAAGAAGGCCUUCGGGUUGUAAAGGACGUUCAGCGAGGAGGCGUUACUCGAAGAAGAAGCACCGGCUAACUCCGUGCCAGCAGCCGCGGUAAUUC
Molecule: ribosomal RNA, 406 nt
Filed under: uncultured bacterium
Lineage: Bacteria
Description: partial 16S ribosomal RNA
Rfam family: Bacterial small subunit ribosomal RNA
Source: RNAcentral